AACGAACGCUGGCGGCAGGCCUAACACAUGCAAGUCGAGCGCGCCCUUCGGGGUGAGCGGCGGACGGGUGAGUAACGCGUGGGAACGUGCCCUUUUCUACGGAAUAGCCUCGGGAAACUGAGAGUAAUACCGUAUACGCCCUUUGGGGGAAAGAUUUAUCGGAAAAGGAUCGGCCCGCGUUGGAUUAGGUAGUUGGUGGGGUAAUGGCCUACCAAGCCGACGAUCCAUAGCUGGUUUGAGAGGAUGAUCAACCACACUGGGACUGAGACACGGCCCAGACUCCUACGGGAGGCAGCAGUGGGGAAUCUUAGACAAUGGGGGCAACCCUGAUCUAGCCAUGCCGCGUGAGUGAUGAAGGCCUUAGGGUUGUAAAGCUCUUUCAGCUGGGAAGAUAAUGACGGUACCAGCAGAAGAAGCCCCGGCUAACUCCGUG
RNAcentral lists this ribosomal RNA (433 nucleotides) under uncultured bacterium. Its description in RNAcentral is "partial 16S ribosomal RNA". It matches the Rfam family "Bacterial small subunit ribosomal RNA", at positions 29 to 507 of the family's 1533-position model. The record is from RNAcentral.